AAAAACCAUAAAAACAAACUCACAAAUCAAGCUAAACUUUGCUUAAUAGCGUAAAACUUAGCCUGGUUGGUUUGUGAGUUUGUUUUUAUAGUUUUUAUAUAUAUCUUUCU
RNAcentral lists this microRNA precursor (110 nucleotides) under Brugia malayi. RNAcentral's name for it is "microRNA bma-mir-9526 precursor". The record is from miRBase by way of RNAcentral. Lineage: Eukaryota; Metazoa; Nematoda; Chromadorea; Rhabditida; Onchocercidae.